RNAcentral lists this ribosomal RNA (460 nucleotides) under uncultured bacterium. RNAcentral describes it as "partial 16S ribosomal RNA". It matches the Rfam family "Bacterial small subunit ribosomal RNA", at positions 338 to 795 of the family's 1533-position model. The record is from RNAcentral.
CCUACGGGAGGCAGCAGUGGGGAAUAUUGCACAAUGGGCGAAAGCCUGAUGCAGCCACGUAGCGUGAAGGAUGACUGCCCUAUGGGUUGUAAACUUCUUUUAUAUGGAAGUAAAGUGCAGUAUGUAUACUGCUUUGCAUGUACCUUAUGAAUCAGGAUCGGCUAACUCCGUGCCAGCAGCCGCGGUAAUACGGAGGAUCCGAGCGUUAUCCGGAUUUAUUGGGUUUAAAGGGAGCGUAGGCGGGUGGUUAAGUCAGUUGUGAAAGUUUGCGGCUCAACCGUAAAAUUGCAGUUGAUACUGGCAUCCUUGAGUACAGUAGAGGUAGGUGGAAUUCGUGGUGUAGCGGUGAAAUGCUUAGAUAUCAGGAAGAACGCCGAUGGCGAAGGCAGCCUGCUGGACCGUAACUGACGCUGAUGCUCGAAAGUGUGGGUAGCAAACAGGAUUAGAUACCCUAGUAGUC